GACGAACGCUGGCGGCGUGCCUAAUACAUGCAAGUCGAACGCAGUGGGGACGGGUGAGUAACACGUGGGUAACCUCCCAUCAGAGGGGAUACCACUUGGAAACAGGUGCUAAACCGAUAUUGAUGGCUGGACCCGCGGUGCAUUGGCUAGUUGGUGAGGUAACGGCUCACCAAGGCCACGAGGCAUAGCCGACCUGGGAGGGUGAUCGGACACACUGGGACUGAGACACGGACCAGACUCCGCCGGGAGGCAGCAGUAGUGAAUCGGCGGCAAUGGACGAAAGUCUGACCGAGCAACGCCGCGUGAGCGAAGAAGGUUUUCGGAUCGUAAAACUGGGUGGUUAGAGAAGCGGUAUCUAACCAGAAAGCCACGGCUAACUACGUGCCAGCAGCCGCGGUAAUUC
This 403-nucleotide ribosomal RNA is filed under the name uncultured bacterium. RNAcentral describes it as "partial 16S ribosomal RNA". It matches the Rfam family "Bacterial small subunit ribosomal RNA", at positions 28 to 526 of the family's 1533-position model. The record is from RNAcentral.